RNAcentral lists this non-coding RNA (31 nucleotides) under Rattus norvegicus (Norway rat). The record is from RNAcentral. Lineage: Eukaryota; Metazoa; Chordata; Mammalia; Rodentia; Muridae.
GCCUAAAGUCUUAUAGCAAUUGUGAAGGUGU